RNAcentral lists this ribosomal RNA (253 nucleotides) under uncultured bacterium. Its description in RNAcentral is "partial 16S ribosomal RNA". It matches the Rfam family "Bacterial small subunit ribosomal RNA", at positions 524 to 776 of the family's 1533-position model. The record is from RNAcentral.
UACAGGGGGGGCAAGCGUUGUUCGGAAUUACUGGGCGUAAAGGGCGCGUAGGCGGCCUACUAAGUCGGACGUGAAAUCCCUCGGCUCAACCGGGGAGCUGCGUCCGAUACUGGUGGGCUCGAAUCCGGGAGAGGGAUGUGGAAUUCCAGGUGUAGCGGUGAAAUGCGUAGAUAUCUGGAGGAACACCGGUGGCGAAGGCGGCGUUCUGGACUGCAACUGACACUGAGGAACGAAAGCCAGGGGAGCAAACGGG